Molecule: long non-coding RNA, 2232 nt
Filed under: Zea mays
Lineage: Eukaryota; Viridiplantae; Streptophyta; Magnoliopsida; Poales; Poaceae
Description: long non-coding RNA (ZMAY_LNC004258)
Source: RNAcentral
AUAGAUUGCAUAGCAUAACAAUAAUACAAACAUAGAGUCUCAGUGCAUAGAAAAUCAGAUAGAUGCGAUUAUUCAGUCUAGCAUCAUCUCUUGAAUGCAUAGCAUAAUACUACAUGACUUCAGUUUAGCAUCAUAUCUUCAAUGGCAAGACCUAGAAGCAAACACCAUCUUGAUGUUUCAGUGCUUCUUUUGGUGACCACUUGUUGAUGAAAAAUCCUUAUGUACGACCUGUUGAUGAGAAAAAAACUCAGAUAAAUUUCCUAUAUAUUAAAUUCCUCAUCUACUAAGAACUUAAUGCUAAGAAACAAGAGCAACAAAACUGUUUCAGGACAUGAAAGAAUUCGAUAUGUAAAUACUAAAUAGUGACUAAAAUACAGGAAUUGGGCAUAUGAAAGAAUAAUAAAUAAUCCUAUUUGAAGUUCUGAGCAUGCUUGUAUACUGAAAGCCUCUAUACAACUAGAAUAGAAAAUGUCUCGUUACAACUAGAAUAGAAAAAUAUCAUUACCAGCUGUUUUACUAGAAGGUUGUUUCCACAUCUAAACUACAUGCACAUCUAAGAUAACUGUUUACUAGAAGGUUUUUCUGGUAUCAAUAGUUGUAAUCAAACUUUACAUGAAAAAAAUCGCAUUCUUUUUAAUUUGGUCUCUGUAAUAAGGUGUGGUGAGGUCUUUAGUUUGGUUAGGCUUCUUUGCUGUUUUAUGUAGUCCUAUGUCGACUAGGUGCACAAACCAUAUCAACAUACUCUGAAAACUGAAUUGGAUCAGCACAUCAGUUAAACUAAGGGGGCCUUUGAGAAGAGGUUUAUUUGGACCAUUUAUGUUUUUGGAGUAAAAGAUUUGAAGGAUACUCCCUCCAUCCUAGAAUAUAAAAAAGGGCAUAUCCAAAGUCUUGAGAACCAAAGGCUUCAGACCGAUGAGAUGUCGGGAAAGUAAUAUAAGUUGUCCUUCUGCAAAAUUGUCAUGCAAGUGGUUAGUACUAGUGGUUAAGUAUAAGUUGAAAUAAUCACUUGUCAUUCUGAACAAAUUAUGCAUGACUUGGGAUCCUAUGGAAAUUACGCAUUUCAAAAAGACACAAGAAAGCUCAAACCUUUUCUUGGACUUUUCACUAGAUAAAGCAAAAACCUAAUGAACUAAUGUUCCUCAUAAAUAUUAAGAUAUGUUCAUUUUCAGAACGUGUUGCCUUGCAAGCCGACAAUAUCAUGUAAUGGCAGAUUAACAACUAUGCUUCCAGUCAUUGCAAACUGCAAGUAUCUAACUGCCAGAAGCCUACAUAGUAUCAAACUACAAGUUGAAUUCAGAAAAAAAAACAUACAAUCCUAACAAGGCAGGACAUUAGGAAUCAAUGUUCCUCAUAGUUGGGACUCCCAGAUCUAGCUAGAACUAUCAACUAUCAACACCCACACCUUGACACAAGCAACUUCAGUUCAUAGAACUAUCAACUAUUCAAUUUAAAAAUAUUAUGCUAACAUAUAUGCAGUAUUCAUCUUCCUCCUCUCACCAAUAGAUCGGGUUGAGAUAAAAAAAUACAUGCUUCUUCACAGAAAUAAAAACUCCAUGCGUUGUUGUUAUUGACCGUGAGAAAUUAAGCUGUGUGGAUCCGAUGACAAAGUAAGUGAACAAGAAAUGGUACGGUCUGCUGCUUAAUUUCAACCUAGUAGAAACCAAAGCAAUUGUGCUAGUUAGGAUGUGCGCAACGCAGCCCCCUCGGCAUCCCCCUCCCCUUACAUGGCGGCUGUAGGGGCACCCUACGGCCGCAGCGGUGCCCCCUACAGCGCCCCCUACGUAUCGGUCCCCUUCUCUCUCCUCCCAGAUCUAGCGUGUCACUGUUCAUCACCCUAAACACACUGUGUUGUGGGUCCACGAGUAAUUGUUAGUAGAUAAAAAAUUGAUAGUUGAUAUAGAAAAUGAUAUUUUAUAGUUGUAGUGGGGUAUAGAGGAGUAUUUAGGGGGAACCGCUGCGGGAGAUGAAAAAAUAGGGGGAAAAUAGGGGGAAAAAGUGAUAUAGGGGAAAAAAUUUAGAGGUAACGGUUGCGGAUAGCCUUAUUUGGUCGAGCCAAGAAGAAAAUAAAACAUAUGCUUAAACUGAAGGAGAGAGACAAGAGAAUAGGUUACAUACGCAAAUCGAAGGACAGCCAGUCCCAAGUCUCUCUCCCGCCAGCUGCCGCCGCUGCAAGGGCCAUGCGAGAGUGAAGAGGAGGUGGCUGAGGAGGUGAUCUGAGGCCGUGCGCGAUCU